Molecule: ribosomal RNA, 460 nt
Filed under: uncultured bacterium
Lineage: Bacteria
Description: partial 16S ribosomal RNA
Rfam family: Bacterial small subunit ribosomal RNA
Source: RNAcentral
CCUACGGGAGGCAGCAGUGAGGAAUAUUGGUCAAUGGGCGCGAGCCUGAACCAGCCAAGUAGCGUGAAGGAUGACUGCCCUACGGGUUGUAAACUUCUUUUAUAAAGGAAUAAAGUGAGGCACGUGUGCCUUUUUGCAUGUACUUUAUGAAUAAGGAUCGGCUAACUCCGUGCCAGCAGCCGCGGUAAUACGGAGGAUCCGAGCGUUAUCCGGAUUUAUUGGGUUGAAAGGGAGCGUAGAUGGGUUGUUAAGUCAGUUGUGAAAGUUUGCGGCUCAACCGUAAAAUUGCAAUUGAUACUGGCGGCCUGGAGUGCGGUAGAGGUAGGCGGAAUUCGUAGUGUAGCGGUGAAAUGCUUAGAUAUCGCGAAGAACUCCAGUGGCGAAGGCGGCCUGCUAGACAGCAACUGACAUUGAGGCUCGAAAGUGUGGGGAUCAAACAGGAUUAGAGACCCCGGUAGUC